UGGUAGAGGUAACUGGAAUUUCUAGUGUAGGAGUGAAAUCCGUAGAUAUUAGAAGGAACACCGAUGGCGUAGGCAGGUUACUGGGCCAUUUCUGACGCUAAGGCACGAAAGCGUGGGGAGCGAACCGGAUUAGAUACCCGGGUAGUCCACGCCGUAAACGAUGGAUACUAGCUGUUGGAGGUAUCGACCCCUUCAGUAGCGAAGCUAACGCGUUAAGUAUCCCGCCUGUGGAGUACGGCCGCAAGGCUAAAACAUAAAGGAAUUGACGGGGACCCGCACAAGCGGUGGAUUAUGUUCUUUAAUUCGAUGAUAACCGAAGAACCUUACCAGGGCUUGACAUCCAGGGAAAGUCUGCGAAAGUAGACUGUGCCUUUUGGAACCCUGUGACAGGUGAUGCAUGGCCGUCGUCAGCUCGUGUCGUGAGAUGUUAGGUUAAGUCCUUCAACGAGCGCAACCCUUGUGAAUAGUUGUAUUUUUCUAUUCAGACUGCCCCGGUAACGGGGAGGAAGGAGGGGAUGAUGUCAGGUCAGUAUUUCCCUUACGUCCUGGGGUAGAAACGUAAUAC
Molecule: ribosomal RNA, 565 nt
Filed under: Nanosynbacter sp.
Lineage: Bacteria; Bacillati; Minisyncoccota; Nanosynbacteria; Nanosynbacterales; Nanosynbacteraceae
Description: bacterial SSU rRNA
Rfam family: Bacterial small subunit ribosomal RNA
Source: RNAcentral